This 258-nucleotide ribosomal RNA is filed under the name Triticum aestivum (bread wheat). RNAcentral describes it as "partial small subunit ribosomal RNA". The record is from RNAcentral. Lineage: Eukaryota; Viridiplantae; Streptophyta; Magnoliopsida; Poales; Poaceae.
AUGGUGAAGAUUGUCAAGGACAUAGCCAAUACCUAUAAGGAGUCUGUCGUAGCCAACACUAAGCAAAUGCAGAAACGUGCAAAUGAGAAGGUUGCAUAUUCUGUGAAGAGGUGUCAGGAGCUAGCAUUUGAGUGUGGCGUUGAGCAAACAGUUGACUCUGUCUAUGCUAUGUCUAAGAUGUUCGAAACAGAGUACCAAAGGGAGUUCUUUUGUGGCCUGUUAACUCCUGAGCUUAGGUUGGGUUACUUCAAGAAAUGA